This 581-nucleotide ribosomal RNA is filed under the name uncultured Burkholderia sp. RNAcentral describes it as "bacterial SSU rRNA". It matches the Rfam family "Bacterial small subunit ribosomal RNA", at positions 102 to 679 of the family's 1533-position model. The record is from RNAcentral. Lineage: Bacteria; Pseudomonadati; Pseudomonadota; Betaproteobacteria; Burkholderiales; Burkholderiaceae.
ACGGGUGAGUAAUACAUCGGAACGUGUCCUGGAGUGGGGGAUAGCCCGGCGAAAGCCGGAUUAAUACCGCAUACGCUCUACGGAGGAAAGCGGGGGAUCUUCGGACCUCGCGCUCAAGGGGCGGCCGAUGGCGGAUUAGCUAGUUGGUAGGGUAAAGGCCUACCAAGGCGACGAUCCGUAGCUGGUCUGAGAGGACGACCAGCCACACUGGGACUGAGACACGGCCCAGACUCCUACGGGAGGCAGCAGUGGGGAAUUUUGGACAAUGGGGGCAACCCUGAUCCAGCAAUGCCGCGUGUGUGAAGAAGGCCUUCGGGUUGUAAAGCACUUUUGUCCGGAAAGAAAUCCUCUGGGUUAAUACCCCGGGGGGAUGACGGUACCGGAAGAAUAAGCACCGGCUAACUACGUGCCAGCAGCCGCGGUAAUACGUAGGGUGCGAGCGUUAAUCGGAAUUACUGGGCGUAAAGCGUGCGCAGGCGGUCCGCUAAGACCGAUGUGAAAUCCCCGGGCUUAACCUGGGAACUGCAUUGGUGACUGGCGGGCUAGAGUGUGGCAGAGGGGGGUAGAAUUCCACGUGUAGC